This 387-nucleotide ribosomal RNA is filed under the name Triticum aestivum (bread wheat). RNAcentral's name for it is "partial small subunit ribosomal RNA". The record is from RNAcentral. Lineage: Eukaryota; Viridiplantae; Streptophyta; Magnoliopsida; Poales; Poaceae.
AUGCCCCACACCCGUCAUAGGUGGUGCAGAUGGCAUGUGUUAAAGGUCUUGAAAGAGAAAAUUGGACCCGUGUACAACAAACAUUCUGCCUUCAAGAAGGAAUUCCACGCGAUAGUAAAUGAAGAGAUAGAUGUAGAAUCAUUUGAGCGAAAGUGGCAUCAAUUGAUUAAAAAAUACAAACUUCAAGGAAACAAGUACCUUCGCAGGAUUUUCAAGUGGAGGGACAUGUGGGCAAUGCCAUACUUCAUGGGCACAUUCUGUGCCGGGAUGACCAGCACGCAACGGAGCGAGAGUGCGAAUCAUCUCCUCAAAAAGUUCAUCAGCAGAUCACCCCCAAUGCACUUGUUUGUUAAGCAGUACAACAAAUUGCUUGAUUCCAGGAGCUAG